AUCCUAUGGUGAGGACACUAUCUCUGCAAUUCCUUGAACCUCUCCUAAACUUCAUCCAACAUCUCAUCAUCUUUCUGGUAGAAAGUAUUCAUCUUAUUUCUCAGUUU
Mangifera indica (mango) is the source of this 107-nucleotide small nucleolar RNA. The record is from RefSeq and is a predicted model, not a curated record. NCBI's taxonomy places the organism in Eukaryota, Viridiplantae, Streptophyta, Magnoliopsida, Sapindales, Anacardiaceae.